This 313-nucleotide ribosomal RNA is filed under the name uncultured Chloroflexota bacterium. RNAcentral describes it as "bacterial SSU rRNA". It matches the Rfam family "Bacterial small subunit ribosomal RNA", at positions 28 to 351 of the family's 1533-position model. The record is from RNAcentral. Lineage: Bacteria; Bacillati; Chloroflexota.
GAUAAACGCUGGCGGCGUGCUUCAGGCAUGCAAGUCGAACGGGCACUUCGGUGUCAGUGGCGGACGGGUGAGUAACACGUAAGUAACCUGCCCGGAAGUGGGGAAUAACCCGCCGAAAGGUGAGCUAAUUCCGCAUGUGAUGGCUCUUCCCUGGAGGGGUCAUGAAAGGCGAAAGUCGCUUCCGGAGGGGCUUGCGGCCGAUUAGCUAGUUGGUGGGGUAAUGGCCUACCAAGGCGACGAUCGGUAGCUGGUCUGAGAGGACGGUCAGCCACACGGGGACUGAGAUACCGGCCCCGACUCCUACGGGAGGCAG